CGAUCUUCUGCAAGAAAAUGCUUUGGUAUGUUUCCAAACUGGCUGCCAGAGCCAGGAGGAAGUGAAGGCAGUAGACACUAACUGUGGUUGGUUACUACCUCCUUAACGCUGAGACUAUGACCUUUGUUGGUUGUUUGGUAGAGAACAGGAGAGCACAACCCUCGUUCCACUAACAGCUCUAUUUCAGUGCUUCUCUCCUCCCAGAGGUGCAAGGAGUGAUCCUAGAGCCACAGAUACAGCCAAGACCACGGAGAGCUUUUGACGGCAGGGCUCCACUUUCUCCACUGAACCCUUGGAGACAGAAUGUCCAGCUUCUGGAGAGAGUGGGAAAGGAUAAUAAACAAGUGUCUUGAUAAUUGGAGACCGGUUUACUUGUUGUCUAAUUGCCCAGAUUUCUUUCAACUGGUCAAACAUCAUACCUCUUCAGCAAAAGGAGUUCUUCUAGCAGAGCCCUCCUCCCUCACGGAUGACACCUGUCACUCAUGGCAGCACCUACAGAGUGGAAGGCAGUGGUGAAUGGAUCCAUGCCCUCUGUCUAGAAGACACAAGGAUGAGCCAACCACCUGAGCUUGUUUCUCACAAACUUUUAACGUUUACUCUGGUUUACUUUUGGUCUGAAAUGGAAAGGCUCAAAUAAUGAAGUAAUCUUUUCAUUGGAGUUUUACAUGGCCAUGACAAUACUUCUUAUCCUGAAGACUGAAAUAGAGGAAGCUUGAGAGUCUUCUUUCAAAGCAGCUCUCUGUAUAUGUUUACUUAAAAGAUUUGUGGGACUGACAGUCACUUUAAUCAAACAGGCAACCCCCACUUUAAAAAGUAGCAUUAAAAAAAAAAAACAACACAUAAAGCUGAAUGAGCCCCCCAAACACCUCUCCUUUUGUUACCAGUGCUUAAGGGACUAGCAGGUAAAGGGUGAAUCCAACUCUUCACGAGUUCGUUAGUGUUAGGAUGUACUCUUGGCUCAUCUCUGCCGGUCCUGAGCCGUAUUCUUACUGUAGUUUAUCACGUCAAGAAAGUCAGAGAACUGUCUCAGUCUCGGAGACCAAGGAGGUCGGUCUGUGUUGCUAAGAAGUAAAUGCCUUGUUGGGUUUAUUCUGCAUUCCGACACUUGAAUGGUACCGAGCAGUUCAGAACAGAGGUAAUAAAGAGUCAGAUGAGCCUAUAGGUGCGAAUAGGCUUAAAGUAAUUAUCCAAAUUACCAAUUGGCAGUAGCUACCUGUUUCUUCUUUUAGUUAUCUAUUACCUAGUAACUGGCCAGUCCAAGCUAUUAAGGAAAACCAACAUUCACUUGAUGCUGCCAGUGCUUUUUAAUUUGGAAUAGCCUAAGAAAAGGAAUUAAGAUUUUUAUAAUAAUAGAAGAACAACUGAAAUGUUAGGCUCUCAAAGUGUAAAACUCAAUCUGCUAAGACAGAACCUACUUUUAGUCUUGGCUAUAAGAAAUAUUUCUUAAUUAUGAAUCAGUUUUGAAAAGUAUAGUGCUUAAAAGUAAAAUGUUAAAGAUAAUUUUGAAUUGAAAAUUUCUCCCAUAUACCCCUGAAUUCCCAUAGAAUGAUUACAGCUUUGUGUUCCUGGCUUAAUAAGAUAGUUCAUAAACAUAUAAACAAACAAACAAACAAACAAAAAACCCAAAUUACCCAGUAUUUUAGAAAACUCAGAACUGAAAUUGAGAUUUGCCUAGAUACUCAGUUGCAUUUUUUAAAACCUUGGUGCAAACCAUUUUAUGGCCUGAGUUUACUAGCCUUUUGUGUUAGCACUGAAGCUGGAAAGCGAUUUAACCUUGGAAUCUCAAGCUUAAGUUAAUUUCAGCUCUGUUCCCUAAAGUAUGCAAAAGAAAUGUAAGUGCAUUUCCAUCACCACAUGCACGGUGGCAAGCUGUUGCAAAGUGAAAUUCUCUGUGUAUUACUGUGAACUAAUUUGUUUACAUUUUAAUUCUGAUGCAUUUUCUUUCAGAUUUUUAAAGAAUAAUUUCGUGUCAUACUAUGCAAUCCUAUAUCUCUUCCGUGU
Molecule: long non-coding RNA, 2001 nt
Organism: Psammomys obesus (fat sand rat)
Lineage: Eukaryota; Metazoa; Chordata; Mammalia; Rodentia; Muridae
Exons: 4
Source: RefSeq, a predicted model, not a curated record